AGGAGGUCCGAUUGGAGGAUGAGGCCGCAGUUGUGGGGGAGGGUAGCGGCUGUGCCGCUCCCUUCUGCCCUCUCUCUGACAGGAUCUGGUCAGUGUCCCGCUUCUGAGGGUCACGGCCCAGCUUACGAACACAAACUUAUCUUCCGUACAUCUGCCGGGCCGCCUGCGCAGUCAGUCUGUCUCCACGGCAGGCUGCGCUCUCUUUCCUGGUUGGGGGAUGCUUUGGUUGAGAAGAGCGACAGAGAGAGGGAGAAGGCCAGUGGGAAGGGGGGACAGAGUGGGAAACCAAGGAUCUAGACCCUGCCAAGACGCUGAGCUACAUGGAAAACACGAGCUGCCUCCAGGAUGGAGAUGACCUUUGAGUGACCAAUAGUGAAGCUCAACCCCGGCCCUUUCGCAGAGCAAGGGAAUGCUGGCUGCGUCUGCCCAGGAGAAAAUGACAACUUCAUUAGAAGGGCUUGGAUAGAGCAGAGAGUGAGAAAACAAAUGACUGUGAGCGGUGUAGAUGGAGUGCAGAGAGCCUAACUCAGAGGAGUUCUACCUGCCAAAACCUUGUCUGCCUAACCUUAACCCAGACGAGAGAAUUAGGAGAUAAUGUUUGUACAACCAGAAAUCACUGUAAUAAAAUUAGAAUGGGAGACCUAUCAUUAAAAUGUAAAAUGGUAAACUUCUUUUGUGCUUCUUUGGAAGCACAUUUUUUCAGUCUUUGCAAAUAGGGGUGUGUCAUCAGAAUUUAAUGAAUAAGAAUUGGAUUUAGAAUGAAAUUGGAUUAGAUUUUUUUCCCUUAGAAUACAAGAACCUGUGCACUGAAAAAAGUAGUAACCGGCAACUUACCUCAACCUAGUGUAACCUAGAGGAAUCAAGUUGUUUCAGGGAUGAAUUUAAUUUAGUUGUUCAGAUGCCUU
Long non-coding RNA from Cyprinus carpio carpio, 905 nucleotides. The record is from Ensembl. NCBI's taxonomy places the organism in Eukaryota, Metazoa, Chordata, Actinopteri, Cypriniformes, Cyprinidae.